This 342-nucleotide ribosomal RNA is filed under the name Thomisidae sp. SPB-2007. RNAcentral describes it as "partial 16S ribosomal RNA". Lineage: Eukaryota; Metazoa; Arthropoda; Arachnida; Araneae; Thomisidae. The record is from RNAcentral.
AAAGACUAGAACAAAAGACUUAACAUUUUAAUUUAUUUCUUAAAUUUAUUUAUUUAAAUUAUUUUAAGCGUAAAAAAACACUUAUUUUUAAGAAAGACGAUAAGACCCUAUCGAACUUAACUUUAGUUUAACUGGGGCAGUAAAUUAAUUAAUAUUUUAAUUAAAAUUUAAACAAUUUUAUCCAAUAAAAUUGAUUAAUUAAGUUACCGUAGGGAUAACAGCGUAAUAUAAUUUUUAAGAUCUUAUUUAAAAUUAAGUUUGCGACCUCGAUGUUGAUUUAAUAUUCUUAUUUACGCAAUAGUAAAUAAAGAAAGUCUGUUCGACUUUUAAACAAUUACAUGA